AGUGAGGAAUAUUGGUCAAUGGGCGCAAGCCUGAACCAGCCAUCCCGCGUGAAGGAUGACUGCCCUAUGGGUUGUAAACUUCUUUUCUGCACCAAGAAACUUGCCCUCGUGAGGGUAGCUGACGGUAGUGUAGGAAUAAGCAUCGGCUAACUCCGUGCCAGCAGCCGCGGUAAUACGGAGGAUGCAAGCGUUAUCCGGAUUUAUUGGGUUUAAAGGGUCCGCAGGCGGACCGGUAAGUCAGUGGUGAAAUCCUGCAGCUUAACUGUAGAACUGCCAUUGAUACUGUCGGUCUUGAGUAUGGUCGAGGUAGGCGGAAUGAGUAGUGUAGCGGUGAAAUGCUUAGAUAUUACUCAGAACACCGAUUGCGAAGGCAGCUUACUAGGCCAUUACUGACGCUGAUGGACGAAAGCGUGGGGAGCGAACAGGAUUAGAUACCCUGGUAGUCCACGCCGUAAACGAUGCUCACUCGCUGCUUGCGAUACAUUGUAAGUGGCCAAGCGAAAGUUUUAAGUGAGCCACCUGGGGAGUACGAUCGCAAGGUUG
RNAcentral lists this ribosomal RNA (543 nucleotides) under uncultured bacterium. Its description in RNAcentral is "bacterial SSU rRNA". It matches the Rfam family "Bacterial small subunit ribosomal RNA", at positions 353 to 896 of the family's 1533-position model. The record is from RNAcentral.